CGGGGCGUAGCGCAGUGGCUAGCGCACUCGCUUGGGGUGCGAGGGGUCGGAGGUUCAAUUCCUCUCGCCCCGACCA
RNAcentral lists this transfer RNA (76 nucleotides) under candidate division FCPU426 bacterium. Its description in RNAcentral is "tRNA-Pro". It matches the Rfam family "tRNA". From Rfam's summary of the family: Transfer RNA (tRNA) molecules are approximately 80 nucleotides in length. Their secondary structure includes four short double-helical elements and three loops (D, anti-codon, and T loops). Lineage: Bacteria; candidate division FCPU426. RNAcentral also lists the same sequence under 1 other name. The record is from RNAcentral.